AUACGGGGGGUGCAAGCGUUAUUCGGAUUUAUUGGGCGUAAAGAGCGCGUAGGCGGCUUGGUAAGCCAGAUGUGAAAGCCCGGGGCUCAACCCCGGAAGUGCAUUUGAAACUAUCAGGCUUGAGUAUGGGAGAGGGAAGUGGAAUUCCUGGUGUAGAGGUGAAAUUCGUAGAUAUCAGGAGGAACACCGGUGGCGAAGGCGACUUCCUGGACCAAUACUGACGCUGAGGCGCGAAGGCGUGGGGAGCAAACAGGAUUAGAAACCCUGGUAGUCC
Molecule: ribosomal RNA, 274 nt
Filed under: uncultured bacterium
Lineage: Bacteria
Description: partial 16S ribosomal RNA
Rfam family: Bacterial small subunit ribosomal RNA
Source: RNAcentral